UGGGUUGGCCGAGUGGUUAGGCAGCGGCCUGCAAAGCCGUAUACACCGGUUCGAAUCCGGUACC
This 64-nucleotide transfer RNA is filed under the name Gleimia europaea. It matches the Rfam family "tRNA", at positions 5 to 66 of the family's 71-position model. From Rfam's summary of the family: Transfer RNA (tRNA) molecules are approximately 80 nucleotides in length. Lineage: Bacteria; Bacillati; Actinomycetota; Actinomycetes; Actinomycetales; Actinomycetaceae. The record is from RNAcentral.